Molecule: ribosomal RNA, 264 nt
Filed under: uncultured archaeon
Lineage: Archaea
Description: partial 16S ribosomal RNA
Rfam family: Archaeal small subunit ribosomal RNA
Source: RNAcentral
ACACGACUACAUUAGAUACCCGUGUAGUCCCAGCCCUAAACGAUGCGCGUUAGGUGUAUCGGUGACCACGAGUCACCGAGGUGCCGAAGGGAAACCGUGAAACGUGCCGCCUGGGAAGUACGGUCGCAAGGCUGAAACUUAAAGGGAUUGCGGGGGAGCACCACAACGGGUGGAGCCUGCGGUUUAAUUGGACUCAACGCCGGGAAGCUCACCGGAUAAGACAGCGGAAUGAUUGCCGGGCUGAAGACCCUGCAUGACCAGCUG